RNAcentral lists this small nucleolar RNA (118 nucleotides) under Mus pahari (shrew mouse). RNAcentral describes it as "snoRNA (MGP_PahariEiJ_G0034125.1)". It matches the Rfam family "Small nucleolar RNA SNORA17". Rfam says of the family: snoRNA ACA 17 belongs to the H/ACA family of snoRNAs and is predicted to guide pseudouridylation of the 28S rRNA at positions U4659 and U4598. It shares the same host gene together with ACA43. NB This family has a high threshold value to exclude a large number of closely related sequences that do not appear to have conserved H and ACA boxes, and may be pseudogenes. The record is from RNAcentral. Lineage: Eukaryota; Metazoa; Chordata; Mammalia; Rodentia; Muridae.
AAUGCCCCUAGAGGUGUUGCUGGUGUGCCUGCUCUGUCUUAUGUGCAUCAGUAGGUGCCAGAAGGAGAGAAGCUAUGGUCUGACCUACGAAUGUCAGAAUAAUUAGUAGCUUAGUAGA